This 64-nucleotide small RNA is filed under the name Arabidopsis thaliana (thale cress). RNAcentral's name for it is "ATSL306020". Lineage: Eukaryota; Viridiplantae; Streptophyta; Magnoliopsida; Brassicales; Brassicaceae. The record is from RNAcentral.
AAAAAAAAAUCAAAAAAAAAAUAACUUUAAUCGUGAAAUCGUCAUAAAUAUGAUCUUUAAAAAA